Molecule: ribosomal RNA, 136 nt
Filed under: Triticum aestivum (bread wheat)
Lineage: Eukaryota; Viridiplantae; Streptophyta; Magnoliopsida; Poales; Poaceae
Source: RNAcentral
GGAUGCGAUCAUACCAGCACUAAAGCACCGGAUCCCAUCAGAACUCCGAAGAUAAGCGUGCUUGGGCGAGAGUAGUACUAGGAGGUCAGUAGUACUAGGAUGGGUGACCUCCUGGGAAGUCCUCGUGUUGCAUUCC